UUUGGGACACUUAUCACGAAUCCGACAGCUUCCUUCUUUAUAAAUAGAUACCUCCUCCACUAUUCUUUCUCACCCAUUUUCACCGUUAAAGACAAAAAUUCUACAGAGAUAAAGUUAGAGAGAGAAAAGAAGAAAAUUUUGAAGUGAUUAACGGACUAACUUACAAAGAAUUGUCAGUAUCAGUAAGGAAUUUAGUAUUUUCUUGCACUAACUAAGAUGCAUUUUUUUAAAAA
This 233-nucleotide long non-coding RNA is filed under the name Carica papaya (papaya). RNAcentral describes it as "long non-coding RNA (CPAP_LNC010950)". The record is from RNAcentral. Lineage: Eukaryota; Viridiplantae; Streptophyta; Magnoliopsida; Brassicales; Caricaceae.